This is a long non-coding RNA of Ctenopharyngodon idella (grass carp), 557 nucleotides long. RefSeq lists it as uncharacterized. NCBI's taxonomy places the organism in Eukaryota, Metazoa, Chordata, Actinopteri, Cypriniformes, Xenocyprididae. The transcript is spliced from 3 exons. The record is from RefSeq and is a predicted model, not a curated record.
CCUUCAUCUGAGAGAAAUGAAGAGAGAGUUUUUACAGUGAGCAUCAGUAAUGUGAGCAUGAGAGAUGCUGGAGUUUACUGGUGUGGAGCAGAAACCAGAGACACACAUUUGACUUUCAUCUCCCUGACCACCAAAAUUCAGCUCAACCUCAUCAUGGCUCCAGUAGUGAGACGUGAAGGAGAAUCUGCUGAGAUCAUCUGCCCUUAUGAUUCAAUCUAUAAAUCAAAGUCAAAGUCUCUCUGUAAGGGGAAGUGCUCCACUAGAGAUAGAAAUACUCUCAAUGAAGAGAAAGAGACCAAGACUGACAGAUUGACUCUGAAAGAUAAUGUCACUGCAAGUGUCUUCACUGGGACCAUCACUGGACUGACAGCAGAGGAUGCUGGGAAAUACUGGUGUGCAGUGACAUUAGAGAGAGACGUGAAUUAUCUUUACACUCAUCUGAUCGUCAUCAUGAACGAGGAGCUGAACUUGACUAAGUAUGAAGGAGACGACAUGUCAAUCCAGUGCAAACAUCAUGAUGAACAUCAGAAACUCUUCUGCAAAGCACAUGAACCCUC